RNAcentral lists this unclassified non-coding RNA (424 nucleotides) under soil metagenome. RNAcentral's name for it is "partial contains 5.8S ribosomal RNA, internal transcribed spacer 2, and large subunit ribosomal RNA". The stretch from base 1 to 120 matches the Rfam family "5.8S ribosomal RNA", at positions 35 to 154 of the family's 154-position model. The record is from RNAcentral.
GAUGAAGAACGUAGUGAAAUGCGAUAAGUAAUUUGAAUUGCAGAAUUCAGUGAAUCAUCGAAUCUUUGAACGCACCUUGCGCUCCUUGGUAUUCCAAGGAGCAUGCCUGUUUGAGUAUCAUUAAAUUAUCAACUGUGCCAAUUUGGUUACAGAUUGGAUGUGGGAGAUUCUUUUUGCAGGCCUUUGACUUCUCUUUGAGAAAAAAAUAAAAGGUCGGCUCUCCUGAAAUGUAUUAGCAGUGCCUUUGUUGGUUCAUUAGGUGUGAUAAAUUGUCUACAUCUUCACAUGAUACCUUCAUUUGUAAAGGUUAUAUUGCUUCUAAAUUGUCUUUGAUUGGACGCAAAACAUAUAUAAUGUUUGACAAACUUGAUCUCAAAUCAGGCAGGACUACCCGCUGAACUUAAGCAUAUCAAUAAGCGGAGGA